GAUACCCUGGUAGUCCACGCUGUAAACGAUGUCGACUUGGAGGUUGUUCCCUUGAGGAGUGGCUUCCGGAGCUAACGCGUUAAGUCGACCGCCUGGGGAGUACGGCCGCAAGGUUAAAACUCAAAUGAAUUGACGGGGGCCCGCACAAGCGGUGGAGCAUGUGGUUUAAUUCGAUGCAACGCGAAGAACCUUACCUACUCUUGACAUCCAGAGAACUUAGCAGAGAUGCUUUGGUGCCUUCGGGAACUCUGAGACAGGUGCUGCAUGGCUGUCGUCAGCUCGUGUUGUGAAAUGUUGGGUUAAGUCCCGCAACGAGCGCAACCCUUAUCCUUUGUUGCCAGCGGUUCGGCCGGGAACUCAAAGGAGACUGCCAGUGAUAAACUGGAGGAAGGUGGGGAUGACGUCAAGUCAUCAUGGCCCUUACGAGUAGGGCUACACACGUGCUACAAUGGCAUAUACAAAGAGAAGCGACCUCGCGAGAGCAAGCGGACCUCAUAAAGUAUGUCGUAGUCCGGAUCGGAGUCUGCAACUCGACUCCGUGAAGUCGGAAUCGCUAGUAAUCGUGGAUCAGAAUGCCACGGUGAAUACGUUCCCGGGCCUUGUACACACCGCCCGUCACACCAUGGGAGUGGGUUGCAAAAGAAGUAGGUAGCUUAACCUUCGGGAGGGCG
RNAcentral lists this ribosomal RNA (671 nucleotides) under bacterium sp. R2A-34. Its description in RNAcentral is "bacterial SSU rRNA". It matches the Rfam family "Bacterial small subunit ribosomal RNA", at positions 781 to 1452 of the family's 1533-position model. The record is from RNAcentral.